RNAcentral lists this long non-coding RNA (292 nucleotides) under Ananas comosus (pineapple). RNAcentral describes it as "long non-coding RNA (ACOM_LNC005118)". Lineage: Eukaryota; Viridiplantae; Streptophyta; Magnoliopsida; Poales; Bromeliaceae. The record is from RNAcentral.
CUUAUCUUUUUCUUCCUAAUCUCUCACUUUUGUAUUUUUGCAUCACCUGUCCUAGCUCUCUAGCUUUCUCCUAUAGCUCUAUUUUUUCUUAUUCAUUUUCUACUUUUUUCUGCUUCAUAGGAGGCCUUAGCUGCUUCCAUCAUGUACGCUUAGUUUAUUUUACUUGAUGAAUAAAGCAGGUAGCUCGCUAUCUCUUUCUAAAAAAAAAAACACUGGUGGCGGUCAGUUGGUGAAUUAUCUGACACGAAUGAAAUAACGUUAUUCUUAGAAAUUUCACCAAUUAAUAGUGCAU